RNAcentral lists this ribosomal RNA (463 nucleotides) under uncultured bacterium. RNAcentral describes it as "bacterial SSU rRNA". It matches the Rfam family "Bacterial small subunit ribosomal RNA", at positions 339 to 794 of the family's 1533-position model. The record is from RNAcentral.
CUACGGGAGGCAGCAGUGGGGAAUCUUGCGCAAUGCGCGAAAGCGUGACGCAGCAACGCCGCGUGAGGGAAGACGGCCUUCGGGUUGUAAACCUCUUUCAGGAGGGACGAAGGUUCAGGCGCGAAUAGCGUCCUGGACUGACGGUACCUCCAGAAGAAGCUCCGGCUAACUACGUGCCAGCAGCCGCGGUAAUACGUAGGGAGCUAGCGUUGUCCGGAAUCAUUGGGCGUAAAGCGCGCGUAGGCGGCCCGGUAAGUCCGCUGUGAAAGUCAAAGGCUCAACCUUUGAAUGUCAGCGGAUACUGCCGGGCUAGAGUCCGGAAGAGGCGAGUGGAACUCCUGGUGUAGCGGUGGAAUGCGCAGAUAUCAGGAAGAACACCAACGGCGAAGGCAGCUCGCUGGGACGGAACUGACGCUAAGGCGCGAAAGCGUGGGGAGCGAACAGGCUUAGAUACCCCGGUAGA